Long non-coding RNA from Nannospalax galili (Upper Galilee mountains blind mole rat), 608 nucleotides. RefSeq lists it as uncharacterized. Lineage: Eukaryota; Metazoa; Chordata; Mammalia; Rodentia; Spalacidae. The transcript has 4 exons. The record is from RefSeq and is a predicted model, not a curated record.
GUUAUGCUCCGGCAGCAUGGAUAAAGAAGCUGUUUAUUUCCUCACCCCCCACACCAACACCAGACAAUUUCUUAGGAGUACCAAGUCAGAGAUUGUCUCAAACACAGCCGCCCUGAAUAAAUCUGUGAGCAAUUGGGGAGCCAGCAGACUACACCCAACCAGUGUCCACUGACUCAGACCUAUCUCUGUAUGAAAUGUGAGUCAGAGAGAAACACAAGGCCAGGCAGAUGUUCUGAGAAGUAAGGUGUCAGCUCGGGUCUUUCAGCUUCCACUUCCCGAUCACAAGUCACAAGAACAGUGUCAUGGCCUCUGCUCCAGGAUUGCGUGUGAAGCCACCAUGGCCCCUUUGCAAAGAAGAUCAUGUCCCUGCAACUAUUUUGAUGUUGGUUUCGUGAACAAAAUCAGAUGGCAGAGAGAACACCAAGACCUCGGCCCUGCAGCACUGUGAGCGCUUGUUCAGAUGCAGCCUGCGGCCAUUUCUCGCCAUUUCCGGGUCCUCAGAGCACACAUGCUAUAGUGGCUCAGUCCCCGAGAUCUUCCAAAACCAGGAAUCUAGUUUUUCUUAGCAAAGCCUUUGAGAGGGAACUGACACUGAUUCUAACCACUCC